UAGAGUUUGAUCCUGGCUCAGAUUGAACGCUGGCGGCGUGCCUAACACAUGCAAGUCGAGCGGUAACAGGCGUAGCAAUACGUGCUGACGAGCGGCGAACGGGUGAGUAACGCUUCGGAAUCUGCCCAAUGGUGGGGAAUAACCAGCCGAAAGGUUGGCUAAUACCGCAUGAGCCCUACGGGGGAAAGCGGGGGAUCGCAAGACCUCGCGCCGAUGGAUGAGCCGAAGCCGGAUUAGCUAGUUGGUAGGGUAACGGCCUACCAAGGCGACGAUCCGUAGCUGGUCUGAGAGGACGACCAGCCACACUGGGACUGAGACACGGCCCAGACUCCUACGGGAGGCAGCAGUGGGGAAUAUUGGACAAUGGGGGAAACCCUGAUCCAGCGACGCCGCGUGUGUGAAGAAGGCCUGCGGGUUGUAAAGCACUUUUAGUGGGGAUGAAAAGCUCAGGGAUAACACCUCUGGGUCUUGACCUAACCCACAGAAAAAGCCCCGGCUAACUUCGUGCCAGCAGCCGCGGUAAUACGAAGGGGGCUAGCGUUGCUCGGAUUGACUGGGCGUAAAGGGCGCGUAGGCGGUUCGUACAGUCAGACGUGAAAUUCCUGGGCUCAACCUGNGGGCUGCGUUUGAUACGUGCGGGCUUGAGUCCGGAAGAGGGUCGUGGAAUUCCCAGUGUAGAGGUGAAAUUCGUAGAUAUUGGGAAGACACCCGGUGCGAAGGCGGCGACCUGGUCCGGUACUGACGCUGAGGCGCGAAAGCGUGGGGAGCAACAGGAUUANNAUACCUGGUAGUCCACGCCGUAAACAUGUGCCCUGGAUGU
This 820-nucleotide ribosomal RNA is filed under the name uncultured Candidatus Babelota bacterium. RNAcentral's name for it is "bacterial SSU rRNA". It matches the Rfam family "Bacterial small subunit ribosomal RNA", at positions 1 to 823 of the family's 1533-position model. The record is from RNAcentral.